RNAcentral lists this long non-coding RNA (464 nucleotides) under Elaeis guineensis (African oil palm). RNAcentral's name for it is "long non-coding RNA (EGUI_LNC005354)". The record is from RNAcentral. Lineage: Eukaryota; Viridiplantae; Streptophyta; Magnoliopsida; Arecales; Arecaceae.
GGGAUUCUGCCACUUGAGAUUGGCAUUGCCUCAGCUAUCCCUCAUGAUGCCGUGGUAGUACUGCUUUGUCCAGUGUUGAAGGGUCGUUGGUGCUCUUCUCUGGCUUGAAAAAUCUCCUCUUCCCUUUGAUCAGUUGCAGAAUGCUUCAAGGGAAUACUUCAGUGGGCAUCUUAUGUUGGCAUGGAAGGUGUUGAAAAAUCUCGUCGCUCCAGCGACAAGGGCAUAGAGACGGCCAUCUGUGCUCUUAUCGUCUCAUCCUCCACAAUCUGGUCUAGAACCAAUCUAGAGGAUCAUUUCUUCUCUCACCUCGAGCUCCUUUCGGCCUUCCUUGAAGGAAUAUUUGGGAGGUGGAUGGGUUUCCAUAAGAGAAAUGCCCAUGCCAUCAUCGAUAUUCUUUAGAGAGGGUGGUGAGCAUCACAAAAUGGGGAGUCCUACACUCUCCAUUAGGGGUCGCAUUCCUAGAG